Molecule: non-coding RNA, 583 nt
Organism: Eublepharis macularius
Lineage: Eukaryota; Metazoa; Chordata; Lepidosauria; Squamata; Eublepharidae
Source: the annotation of a RefSeq genome assembly
GAGAGAAAAAGAAGGGGAAGAGAUGGAACCCAUUGUGAUUUUUCUCAUUCUAUUGAGCAUUCUUCCAGGCACCUUUUCCAGUCCCCAGCUGACCCAGUCAGGCCCAGUAAUGGUGAAGCCGGGAGGGUCCUUCAAACUGACCUGCACAGUCUCUGGGGUUCAAGUCAGUGAUCAUUACUGGAAUUGGAUCCGACAGCCUCCAGGAAAAGGCUUGGAGUGGCUGGGAUUCAUUCGAAGCACUGCAAGAGGAGGAACCACUCAAUACUAUCCGGCAUUCAGCAGCCGAAUGAGCAUCACCAGGGACACCUCCAGGAAUGAAGUCUACCUCCAGCUGAGCUCCCUGACAGCUGCAGACACUGCAACGUAUUUCUGUGCGAGAGAAGCACAGAGAGGCAAAGCAAUGGAGCAUCCAGGCAAAAACCACAUUCAGACUCCACCACCCCCACUCACAUUGCUGGGUCUUGGCCUCCAACAACCACAGUGCACAGAGAACCACAGUCUGGCUGGGUCUGAGAGUGUGGCUGACCCACAGCCACCUGCUGAGUCUGUGGGAUUAGUGGGAGUCGAGCCAGCAGAGUGCUGA